UACGUAGGUGGCAAGCGUUGUCCGGAAUCACUGGGCGUAAAGGGCGCGUAGGUGGCCCGUUAAGUGGUUGGUGAAAUCCCGGGGCUCAACUCCGGGGCUGCCGAUCAGACUGGCGGGCUAGAGCACGGUAGGGGCAGAUGGAAUUCCCGGUGUAGCGGUGGAAUGCGUAGAGAUCGGGAAGAAUACCAGUGGCGAAGGCGUUCUGCUGGGCCGUUGCUGACACUGAGGCGCGACAGCGUGGGGAGCAAACAGG
RNAcentral lists this ribosomal RNA (253 nucleotides) under uncultured bacterium. RNAcentral describes it as "partial 16S ribosomal RNA". It matches the Rfam family "Bacterial small subunit ribosomal RNA", at positions 524 to 776 of the family's 1533-position model. The record is from RNAcentral.